Molecule: long non-coding RNA, 816 nt
Organism: Ictalurus furcatus (blue catfish)
Lineage: Eukaryota; Metazoa; Chordata; Actinopteri; Siluriformes; Ictaluridae
Exons: 2
Source: RefSeq, a predicted model, not a curated record
UUGGACGUUCGAUAUUCGCAGAUAUGCGGAAAUUAAGGGACCGUCUCUAAAGUUACAUACGACAUUGUUAAACACGUUUCAACUUCAAUAGCAUUUGAAGGGAAUGACUUACAGUCAUAUAACCAACUGUAAAAUGUUCAACUAGGUGUCAGGGUCACAGGGAACCUGGAGCCUAUCCCAGGAAGUAUCGGGCACAAGGCAGGGUACACCCUGGACAGGGUGCCAGUCCAUCACAGGGCACAAUCACAUACACACUCCCAUUUGAUAUGCCAAUCAGCCUACCAUGCAUGUCUUUGGACUGGGGGAGGAAACCCCCGCAGCAUGGGGAGAACAUGCAAACUCCGCACACACAUGGCCCCGGCAGGACUUGAAUCGCGGACCCUGGAGGUGUGAGGCGAACAUGCUAACCACUAAGCCACUGUGCGCCCUAAAACGAAACAUUUAUGGAAAAUAUAAGACAACAUGUGUUUUGGCUUUCCUUGAUCAGUCCAACUUCACUUGUUUUAUAUGUAUACUUGCAUACAUAUGUUGUGUCUGUUGUGCUCUUCUUGGGCUGGAAUUAUUCUUCUGGGCUUACUGGGCUUCUGCUUGUGUGGAUAUUUGCUAUGCGAUAAUUAUUUAUUUCCCAGUACUUUAUAUAUGCGAGUAUGCAAAGACUCUGCAUGAAAAAGUACCAAUUAUAAACAUUGUGUCAUAUUAGUUCAAAGUUUGAAUAAGUUAAUAACUGCACAAUGGUAGAUUCUUUCACUAUUGCAUGAAUAUGUGUAUUGUGAUUUAGAUUAUGAAACACACAUUAAAUUGACUAUUUAAUCAUUA